GGUUAGUAUAGACGUACCCUCUUGAGAGAUUAUGGGCCUGUGUCUUAUUAGCUACCUCCUAGCUAAAACUUACCAGUGAGGGAUCAGGUGGUUAUAAAUCAGCAACUCGCUUUAGGUGGACAGAGAGCUACAGGAAGAUUAUUGAUAAAAAUGGGCAGAAAACUGGUCCCUGUGGCAUAGAUUCAGCAAAUCUGGACCGAUGAGUAUGUUUCACAAGGCUGGAGAGAAUCCAUCCAGCUACAGGAAGAAGGCAAUAAAACUAAGAACCACAAAAGCAUACAAUCUCUCUCCUCAGUAUUUCCUGCUAUACCACUGAGCCAACCCAUCAAGGAAUGCUUUGAGAUGCCAACUCAUCACUCCACUGCUGCC
Molecule: long non-coding RNA, 369 nt
Organism: Mauremys mutica (yellowpond turtle)
Lineage: Eukaryota; Metazoa; Chordata; Testudines; Geoemydidae
Exons: 4
Source: RefSeq, a predicted model, not a curated record